GUUUGAGAUGUUGACGGGGUCGCUGCCGUUCCAAGGUCAGAACAGGAAGGAGACGAUGACGCAGAUACUCAAGGCGAAGCUCGGCAUGCCGCAGUUUUUGUCGCCGGAAGCGCAGAACCUCCUGAGAGCGCUGUUCAAGCGCAACCCGGCGAACCGACUAGGCGCGGGGCCGGAGGGAGUCGAGGAGAUAAAGAAGCAUCACUACUUCU
Long non-coding RNA from Priapulus caudatus, 209 nucleotides. RefSeq lists it as uncharacterized. Lineage: Eukaryota; Metazoa; Priapulida; Priapulimorpha; Priapulimorphida; Priapulidae. The transcript has 3 exons. The record is from RefSeq and is a predicted model, not a curated record.